RNAcentral lists this ribosomal RNA (1499 nucleotides) under Klebsiella pneumoniae. Its description in RNAcentral is "bacterial SSU rRNA". It matches the Rfam family "Bacterial small subunit ribosomal RNA". The record is from RNAcentral. Lineage: Bacteria; Pseudomonadati; Pseudomonadota; Gammaproteobacteria; Enterobacterales; Enterobacteriaceae.
AGAGUUUGAUCAUGGCUCAGAUUGAACGCUGGCGGCAGGCCUAACACAUGCAAGUCGAGCGGUAGCACAGAGAGCUUGCUCUCGGGUGACGAGCGGCGGACGGGUGAGUAAUGUCUGGGAAACUGCCUGAUGGAGGGGGAUAACUACUGGAAACGGUAGCUAAUACCGCAUAAUGUCGCAAGACCAAAGUGGGGGACCUUCGGGCCUCAUGCCAUCAGAUGUGCCCAGAUGGGAUUAGCUAGUAGGUGGGGUAACGGCUCACCUAGGCGACGAUCCCUAGCUGGUCUGAGAGGAUGACCAGCCACACUGGAACUGAGACACGGUCCAGACUCCUACGGGAGGCAGCAGUGGGGAAUAUUGCACAAUGGGCGCAAGCCUGAUGCAGCCAUGCCGCGUGUGUGAAGAAGGCCUUCGGGUUGUAAAGCACUUUCAGCGGGGAGGAAGGCGNCGAUUGACGUUACCCGCAGAAGAAGCACCGGCUAACUCCGUGCCAGCAGCCGCGGUAAUACGGAGGGUGCAAGCGUUAAUCGGAAUUACUGGGCGUAAAGCGCACGCAGGCGGUCUGUCAAGUCGGAUGUGAAAUCCCCGGGCUCAACCUGGGAACUGCAUUCGAAACUGGCAGGCUAGAGUCUUGUAGAGGGGGGUAGAAUUCCAGGUGUAGCGGUGAAAUGCGUAGAGAUCUGGAGGAAUACCGGUGGCGAAGGCGGCCCCCUGGACAAAGACUGACGCUCAGGUGCGAAAGCGUGGGGAGCAAACAGGAUUAGAUACCCUGGUAGUCCACGCCGUAAACGAUGUCGAUUUGGAGGUUGUGCCCUUGAGGCGUGGCUUCCGGAGCUAACGCGUUAAAUCGACCGCCUGGGGAGUACGGCCGCAAGGUUAAAACUCAAAUGAAUUGACGGGGGCCCGCACAAGCGGUGGAGCAUGUGGUUUAAUUCGAUGCAACGCGAAGAACCUUACCUGGUCUUGACAUCCACAGAACUUNNNGGUGCCUUCGGGAACUGUGAGACAGGUGCUGCAUGGCUGUCGUCAGCUCGUGUUGUGAAAUGUUGGGUUAAGUCCCGCAACGAGCGCAACCCUUAUCCUUUGUUGCCAGCGGUCCGGCCGGGAACUCAAAGGAGACUGCCAGUGAUAAACUGGAGGAAGGUGGGGAUGACGUCAAGUCAUCAUGGCCCUUACGACCAGGGCUACACACGUGCUACAAUGGCAUAUACAAAGAGAAGCGACCUCGCGAGAGCAAGCGGACCUCAUAAAGUAUGUCGUAGUCCGGAUUGGAGUCUGCAACUCGACUCCAUGAAGUCGGAAUCGCUAGUAAUCGUAGAUCAGAAUGCUACGGUGAAUACGUUCCCGGGCCUUGUACACACCGCCCGUCACACCAUGGGAGUGGGUUGCAAAAGAAGUAGGUAGCUUAACCUUCGGGAGGGCGCUUACCACUUUGUGAUUCAUGACUGGGGUGAAGUCGUAACAAGGUAACCGUAGGGGAACCUGCGGUUGGAUCACCU